UUUUUUAUUUGAUUAGUUUGAAUGGUAUGGAUCCGAUAAAAGAGAAGCCGAACCCUGACAUUCAAACCCAGAUCUUGGUGUACUCGUUCGAUUUGGAAAAGAGACGAAGAUGCUGAGAGUUAUGACAGAAGAACUUUAACAAAUCCAUAAGUGGUUAUAGCCUUAUAGGUCAGGAGAAACACCUAAGAGAUAAGGAACAUAACGGAACAGCUGAGAAGUGAUCAAACGAAGAAUACAUGGGAAUUACCAGAUGUUGUCAUCAAGGCAUGAACUACAACCAAUCUGAAAAAGAUAAGUGUUGUCCUGAAUAUAGUCUAUACUGUUUUAUACCCAUUCAUGGUUUAAUUGAAAACAAAUUUAAAGAAUAUAUAAUAAUCAUACUAUUUUAAAAGCAGAAUUCAAUGUUUUUUAAACAGUUAAUAUACGCAAGGAGAAACAACAAAGGAGAUAUGGAAAAAACCGUGCUGAAAUAAAGCAUGCCUAUGAAACAGUUUAUUACAUAAAUCAGUGGAACUUUGCAGAUUCUAAUAAACGUUGAAAGAUCAGUGUGCAUGGAAUAUCAUCAUCAAUUUACUGCAGAAUUGAUACAUAUACUAUUUAAUAAACGAAAACCAGUGUUUUCUAGCAACUGAAGUUUGUUCUAAAGCAUAUGUAACUAUCAUCUGUAAAUUUUUUAUAUGAAUGUGUCAUUCAGAAAAAAGAAAA
Long non-coding RNA from Raphanus sativus (radish), 705 nucleotides. RefSeq lists it as uncharacterized. The record is from RefSeq and is a predicted model, not a curated record. The transcript is spliced from 4 exons. Lineage: Eukaryota; Viridiplantae; Streptophyta; Magnoliopsida; Brassicales; Brassicaceae.